GUCUGACGGUGCUGAGUCAUUGUGAUUCAGUGAUUCCUUAAUGAAAAGGAUACAUGGAGAUAUUUCUUGUUUUUUUUUUUUGGAAGAUUAUCCCUGAGCUGACAUCUGCCACCAAUCCUCCUCUGUUUGCUGAGGAAGAUUGGCCCUGAGCAGGGAAGGUUAAACCAUGACAGGAUGGCUUCCCGUUUAAAAUGGAAUAUGCUCCAGUACCGCGUCUUCUAAUCUUGUACACCCAGUGUCCCACCCCGACACUGAAAAGUGACUUGCAUAACUCUGACACUGGAAAAGAAGCUUGAGGGGCAGCCAGAAUCUGAGAGGAAGCGGCAUGAAGUGAAAAUCUUACGGAGCCUGACUGAGGAUCCCUGUCAGGAGUGAUCAAAGCUUUGCUCCCGACACGGAAGAUCUUGCUGGAGGCUGACAGGCUUCUGCUCGCUCUCUGGUUAAGAACUCAGGACAGUGGGCAGUCAGAAGACUGGGCGGCCAUUCCUCCGCUGUGAAGGUUAAAAAUAAAAAGAUAAACAAGAUAAGGGGGAAAAAAAAGAAGAGAGAAGAAGGAAGGGAAGAAAAAAAUAAGACAAAGGGGCCUUGGACAUCCAUCAAUGGGGAACUGUGCAGCUGUGAUGAGAAAUGUGUCUAUUGCUGCUUUCUCUGUAGACUCCGCAGGAUGCAUUGUUACCUGAAAAAAACAAGAUGGAGGAAAGUAUAUAAUAUGCUACCAUUUAUCCACAAGAGGUGGCAGGGAUAUGAAUAUGUAUUUGCUUAUAUUUAAAAUCACGACAACAAAGCAAGAGCAUAAUAAAAAAAUGGAAAAAAUUUUAAAAAUUGGUCACCUAUAUUGGGAACAGGGUGGAGGAAACAUUGAUAAAACUACACUUUUUGACUACACAGAGAGGAAUUAUUUCAAGUGACUUUAAAAAACAGUAAUUUAACAUAUAAGCUUAGUGGGAUAUACCCUAAGAAUAAAAAGAACUGCAAACAUGCCUUAAGCUGCAUUCAGUUAUCAUGCUGCUUGUAAUAAUAUUAGCACCACUGUUCUGAAACUAUGGUAUGUAGUAUAGUAUAUGGCCAAUAUGUAAUUAUGCUUAUAUUAUUAAGAACCUAGAUGUUAGUAUGAGAAAAAGACAUAAAACCAAAGAAAUACAAAUCCUAUAAUCCUAAACUUAAAUAGAAAACAUCAGUAUGAGCUCAUGAUAUAUUUCUCAUAAGAACAAAACAAAACAAAAUUAAAAACCUUGUUUCCUUUCCCAGCUCUGCCCACCAAUGAGGGCUAGAAACGCUGCCCAGCCCGGUAGCAAUGACUCUCGUAGCACCAGACUGUCGUCUCUUAUACUAUGUCCCGCUAAAAGGAAGCUGCAUUCACACACAGCUAAUUUCAAGACUGGAGCAGGGAAAGUUCAAGAAGGUCCUGGGAUGUACUACCAUACAAUAAAGCAAGAAGUUUUCAGUGACCACCAAAACAGCAGCAAGAAGGAUUCAGAAGCCGAUUUGAGUGAUCAAGUCUACACAGUACUGCCCAUUAGAGAGGGAGAGAGCAGGAGAGCAGGGGACAGCAGACUUAUUAAAAGACACCACGUGGAUGCAAUCAGCAAACUGCAGAAUGUUGGAAAUUCUACCGGACAAAGUGACUCAGUUUCUUCACCAUAUCGAUGGCAAGGAGGGAAAAGAGGGAGGAUGUGCAGCUGAUGCUGUCGGUGCCCACUCGUAUCUUUUGUGUCUGUCACUGUGCUCAACCUGACUUCCAGUGAUCAGUAGCUGCCUCUGUGCCAAAAACCUUUUUCCCCCUGAACCGUGGAAGGCUGCUCUGCCCACUUUUGGAAAGAACUGACCCCAGAAGCAGCCCUCAGUCAAUGACUAAAUAAAGUGGAUGAAGAACCAUGCCAACCCCUUCAACUCUCAGGGGAUAAUCUUGAGGGGUGUGUGUGUGUGUUUAUACCUUUUCCACAAAUUUCCCCGCAGGAUUAAGCUUCAGCCCCACAUUGGUAAAUGGUUUAAUAGUGCUCCCUUGGCUGGUCUUUCUCUUCCCUGUAUCAUUUUCUUUCUCCCUAUGGUGUCCCUUGCACUUCCCAAAUAAAUACAUAUAUUGAAUCCUUGUCUUAGGGUCUACUUCUGGAGGAAGGAACUCAAACUCAGGCAGAGGGAGAACCAUAGAUUUUAAAAGAGACUUAAGAGGCAUGUCAACCAAUUGCGCAGUAUGGACCUUGUUAGAUCCUGAAUCAAAGAAAUUGUUUAAAGAACUUAGGAGACAAUCAGGGAAAUAUAAACACUGAAUAUUUAAUGUUACUUAAGAAUUUAUUUUUUAGGUGGCAUAAUGCUGUCAUGCUGGUGUUUAAAAUCAAGAGAAAAUAAUGAAUAUUUACAGAUAAAAUGUUACAAUAUCUGAGAUUUGAUUUCAAAUAAUGUGGGGUGCAGUUGUGGUUGGGCAUAUGACACAAGAUUGGUGAUGAGUUGAUAAUUAUUAAAACUGGGUGGUGGGUAUGUGAGGGCUCAUUAUACUAUUCUGUCUACUGUUGUAUAUGUCGGAAAUUUUCCCUAAUUAAAUACCAAAAAGAAGAUCUGAAAACUCCCUGGGG
Molecule: long non-coding RNA, 2570 nt
Filed under: Equus caballus (horse)
Lineage: Eukaryota; Metazoa; Chordata; Mammalia; Perissodactyla; Equidae
Description: lncRNA (ENSECAG00000033927.3)
Source: RNAcentral